Molecule: ribosomal RNA, 686 nt
Filed under: Entamoeba histolytica
Lineage: Eukaryota; Evosea; Mastigamoebida; Endamoebidae
Description: partial small subunit ribosomal RNA
Rfam family: Eukaryotic small subunit ribosomal RNA
Source: RNAcentral
GCGGCAGUUUUACUAUAAGGUCUCGAGCCAGUCCUUUGUGAUCAUUGUUUUCGUCAUUGCGCGAUUUUAAAUCGACGAAUCCGUUUCAGCUUUUCUGGUGGGAACCUACCACCUACCAGAGAAUAACCUGGACCCCAUGUGGGUAUGGCGCUGAAAGAUUUCGCCGCUGAUACUAUUCCGCCCGGCUGACCCCCUCUGCCGGGAAUCCUUACCUGCGCUGCCGGAGUUGGCCAUCUGACAGGUUAAUGCUUUGGGUGAUUUUUUCAUUUCGUAUAUACUCACCGGAAAUCACCGUGCCGGUCAUCUCCGAUGCGCUUCAGGGGGAUAUCAUUUUUUAUUUUUCUCCCUUUGCUUCAUACGUCCCUGCCCUUUGUACAAUGGCAUGCUAACUAGUUACGCGACCCCCGAGCGGUCGGCGUCCCCCAACUUCUUAGAGGGACAAGUGGCGUUCAGCCACCCGAGAUUGAGCAAUAACAGGUCUGUGAUGCCCUUAGAUGUCCGGGGCUGCACGCGCGCUACACUGACUGGCUCAGCGUGUGCCUACCCUACGCCGGCAGGCGCGGGUAACCCGUUGAACCCCAUUCGUGAUGGGGAUCGGGGAUUGCAAUUAUUCCCCAUGAACGAGGAAUUCCCAGUAAGUGCGGGUCAUAAGCUUGCGUUGAUUACGUCCCUGCCCCUUUGUACAA